GGAUGUGAGGAUGAUCUGGCCGCGACAUCUGUCACCCCAUUGAUCGCCAGGGUUGAUUCGGCUGAUCUGGCUGGCUAGGCGGGUGUCCCCUUCCUCCCUCACCGCUCCAUGUGCCUCACUCCCAAAGCUGAGCUUGGCUGAAGAGGAAGGCCUUCCCCAAAUAGAGAUGGAUGGUCUUUGGUUGAGAGUAGCUGCGCUCCCCUGCUAGAACCUCCAAACAGCUCUCAAGAAAAAGCAGGGAAUCAAUAAGAUAGUUCACCUGGUUGCUCUCACUUACCUGACCAAGCACACAACCCAG
This is a non-coding RNA of Erinaceus europaeus (western European hedgehog), 298 nucleotides long. NCBI's taxonomy places the organism in Eukaryota, Metazoa, Chordata, Mammalia, Eulipotyphla, Erinaceidae. The record is from Rfam.